Molecule: long non-coding RNA, 284 nt
Filed under: Salvia miltiorrhiza (redroot sage)
Lineage: Eukaryota; Viridiplantae; Streptophyta; Magnoliopsida; Lamiales; Lamiaceae
Description: long non-coding RNA (SMIL_LNC009877)
Source: RNAcentral
GGAAAUCGUAGCCGCAGCUCUGCUUCAGGUCGGCGAGGACUUUCUUCUCCGUUUUGAGGUCUGCACUGCUGCUAGACUUCGCCGCGGCGCAGUCGCCAUCCGACGCGCUGUCGCCGUCGCCAGUUGUUAAAUCACCGACGCCUUAUCUGUUGGCGCAGCCGCCGAGUCACGCAAGCCCUAGCCCAGCCCCUAUGACGGUCACCACUCCUUCUAAAUCGAGGAUUUGCCGUGCGAUUUCAGAGGUAUACACUUGCUGCGAUUGAUUUAGAUCUGAGUGACAAUUU